Molecule: ribosomal RNA, 433 nt
Filed under: uncultured bacterium
Lineage: Bacteria
Description: partial 16S ribosomal RNA
Rfam family: Bacterial small subunit ribosomal RNA
Source: RNAcentral
AACGAACGCUGGCGGCAUGCCUAACACAUGCAAGUCGAACGAGACCUCCGGGUCUUGUGGCGCACGGGUGCGUAACGCGUGGGAACCUGCCCAUAGGGUCGGAAUAACUCCCCGAAAGGGGUGCUAAUACCGGAUAAUUUCUUCUGACCAAAGAUUUAUCGCCUUUGGAUGGGCCCGCGUGGGAUUAGCUUGUUGGUAGGGUAAAAGACUACCAAGGCGACGAUCCAUAGCUGGGCGGAGAGGAUGCUCAGCCACGCUGGGACUGAGACACGGCCCAGACUCCUACGGGAGGCAGCAGUGGGGAAUAUUGGACAGUCGGCGAAAGCCUGAUGCAGCAAUGCCGCGUGAGUGAUGAAGGCCUUAGGGAUGUAAAGCUCUUUUACCCGGGAUGAUAAUGACAGUACCGGGAGAAUAAGCGCCGGCUAACUCCGUG